This 253-nucleotide ribosomal RNA is filed under the name uncultured bacterium. Its description in RNAcentral is "partial 16S ribosomal RNA". It matches the Rfam family "Bacterial small subunit ribosomal RNA", at positions 524 to 776 of the family's 1533-position model. The record is from RNAcentral.
UACGUAGGGGGCUAGCGUUGUCCGGAAUCAUUGGGCGUAAAGAGCGUGUAGGCGGCUCGGUAAGUCCGCUGUGAAAGUCCAGGGCUCAACCCUGGAAUGCCAGUGGAAACUGUCGAGCUAGAGUCCGGAAGAGGCGAGUGGAAUUCCUGGUGUAGCGGUGAAAUGCGCAGAUAUCAGGAGGAACACCAAUGGCGAAGGCAGGUCACUGGGCCGCAACUGACGCUGAGGAGCGAAAGCAUGGGGAGCGAACAGG